This 320-nucleotide long non-coding RNA is filed under the name Numida meleagris (helmeted guineafowl). RNAcentral's name for it is "lncRNA (ENSNMEG00000002543.1)". Lineage: Eukaryota; Metazoa; Chordata; Aves; Galliformes; Numididae. The record is from RNAcentral.
GUUGGGGUUCGUUGGGUGGUGGACCCCAAAGUUGGGAUGGUGGAGACCCCAAAGUUGGGGUUCAUUGGGUGGUGGACCCCAAAGCGGGGCUUGGAGACCCCACAGUUGGGGGGUGCGGGGUGGAGAGCCUGAAGAUGGGGUUGUUUGGGGGGUGGAGAGCCUGGAGUGGGGGUACGUUGGGUCGUGGAGACCUCAAAGUUGGGGUACGUUGGGUGGUGGACCUCAAAGUUGGGGUUGGAGACCCCAAAGUUGGGGUACGUUGGGUGGAGACCCCAAAGUGGGGGUUCGUUGGGUGGUGGACCCCAAAGCGGGGCUUGGAG